RNAcentral lists this long non-coding RNA (1312 nucleotides) under Marmota monax (woodchuck). Lineage: Eukaryota; Metazoa; Chordata; Mammalia; Rodentia; Sciuridae. The record is from RNAcentral.
CCUGACUCCAGUGAGCCACCUCUGCUGAAAAGGGGAGAGGGUAGAAUUAGGCUCACAGCGAAUGAAAAGAAAACUUCUGUUACGAGCCUUAUUCAUUCAUUGAAACAUUUACCUGUUGCCUACUGGGUCCUAGAUGAAGGCAACAGGCAUUUCCUUGUCAGGUUGGAGCCUGUCUUUUCACACAAGUGACAAAGUAUGCUUUGAAUGUGUAAUGUACUGGGCGUGUAAUUGCCCCUAAGAAAAAUAAUAGUAAAGGAGUAGAAAGUGAGGGGGACGUUAUUUUAUGGAGGCCAAAAAUGACUUGUUAGAGUUAACAACAUUUCAGCAAAGUUCUGUAGAAUGAGAAUGUGACAAUCCACGAAGAGUUUAAGGUAGAGGGACUAGCAAAAACAAAGACCCUAAGAAGGGAAUGUGUUUGGCAAGUUGAAAGACCAGGAAAUAAGUCAUUGUGACUGGAUGACAGUGAAGGAGGGGACAGUGGUAAGAGGUGAGGCAAAAGGCUUUGUUGAGUACCAGAGUGUAUUUUGUCCACCUGAAUGAAGUGAUGCAUUUAUGGCUUCUGUUUCCCCUUACAUAAACGAUGUUGCCAUUCAGAUCUAUCUUGUAUGUGUUUCUUUAAAUAAACUUCAUCAGUGCAACCCCUUCAUUUCUUCCUACAUACGACCCAUUGCAGGAGAUCUCUGAGCAAAUGAUAGCAGGAUAUGAAAUGACUUGAAUUCACACUGACUCCUUUAAAUAAUGAACUAGAACCAUUGUUUUCUCAUAAGAUGUGGGGUGGGAAAAUUUACAGGGAUAUUGCAUACCUGUGGUUACUGUCUUAUAAGCAAAAUAUGCUGGAGCUCCUUUUUUUUUUUUUGUUAGAAACUGGAGUGUUUACUCAAUGGCAAAACUAAAAUCUGCCUAAAAUAUUAAGGCUGAAAUUACAAACAACAACCACCAUGAGAUUUCCCUUUUCUAUAAACAAAAACUCUUGCUGAGGUAAAGGCUGGAACACAAACCCACACAAAGAAGUGCUGAAGAUGGCCAUAAAGUCAUUGUUAAAAUUAGAAACAACAGAACUGUGGGAAAAGAUUAUCUUUCCUGAAGAAAAAAAUAAGUUUUAGAACUCUGAAACUAUGUGCAUGUAUCAUUGUAAUAAAUGAUGUUCCUAUAUUUUGCAAUGAUGUGUUAUUCAAUUUGGCAAUGUCUGUUACUGUCUCCCACCCUGUUUUCCAGGAAAAGAAGUUUGGAACUAGUGAAUAUUCAGGAAUUUUUUUUUUGGGGGGGGGACUUUUUUUUUUUUUGUACUGGGGAUAGAAUCCAGAGGCACUUU